GCUCGGUUGUUUCGGCGAAAUUAUCUACCAUUGUUAUGAUUUUGAAUUUUGCUCGGUUGUUUGUUUUUGUUUUCAUAUUUUGGGAGAGCUUGGUGGGCCUAUCUUUGUUAUGCUGAUCUGUGACUUGGUUUGAAGAACUAUGCUACUAUUCUUUCUUCUUGGUUCUUUUUCUACAAUCUGUUUGUUACAGCCUAAUUUUAAUUUUCAUGUGGUGUUAACAGAGUAAGAUUCACUGUCUCAAGUGUCUGUGCUGCAUAUCCUCUGCGGACGAAUCAACCUUACACAUGAACCAGAAUGUCCGUUGAUGGUGUGAUGUGGUAAUAUUGAUUUUUGUGUGUUGUUUAUCAGAUAUCUGAGUAUUGGGAGAGCUUUUCGAAUGUAUAAUUUUGUUGUGGAUCUGUCUUUUUCAAGGUUGACAUGGAAGAAGCAAAAAAACAAGAAAAUGAAAAUUUACAAUCUGCUUUGCACGAGAUGCAACUUCAGUUCAACGAAACCAAGUCAUUGAUUCAAAAGGAGCGUGAGGCUGCAUAAAGAGAAGUAGAGAGAGUGCCUGUCAUACAUGAGGUUCCUGUUGUUGACCAUCCUUUGUUGGAGAAGCUAACUAGUGAAAAUGAGCAACUCAAGACCUUGGUGACUUCAUUGGAAAAGAAAAUUGAUGAAACAAAGAAAAGGUAUGAAGAGGCAAAUAAACUCAGUGAAGAAAGGUUGAAGCAAGCUUUGGAUGCUGAGUCAAAAAUAGUCCAGUUGCAAACUUCUAUGCAAAGGUUUAGAUUUUGAAUUAACGCUUUGUUGGUAUCCUGUACAUAAUGUAUACCAUUUUGACCCUUUUUACUUAAAUAUUCUGAGAUAUGGAAUAUGAAAAUCAAGUUCUUCGGCAACAGUCUCUGCUUAACUCAUCUGUCAAAACGAUGUCAGAGCACCUUUCUACCCAUGUAUAUGAGAAGUUGGAAAAUGGUCACCAUUUGGUAGAAGAUCAGAAAGCUACUGAAACACAGACUGACACACCUGUGAAAAAGUUCGUUAUAGAGUCUGAUAGCAAAUUAAGGAGAUCAUACAUUGAACGUCAACAUGAAAAUGUUGAUUCCCUUAUCAAUUGUGUUAUGAAAAAUAUUGGAUUCCAUCAUGCAAAGCCUAUUGCUACAUUCACCAUUUACAAAUGUCUUCACUGGAAAUCAUUCAAAGCUGAAAGGACAAGUGUAUUUGAUCGCCUUAUCCAGAUGAUUGGUUGUGCAAUUUAGACGACAAUUAUCUCAUGGCUUACUGGCUGUAAAAUACAUCUACACUAUUGUUUCUGCUCCAACAAAGUUUAAAAUCCGGUGGUUCAAAUGACGCAACCCCAGUUAGAAAACCACCAAAUCCAACAUCCCUCUUUGGCAGAAUGACUAUGGGUUUUCGGUCAUCUCCUUCGUCUGCCAACCUUUCUACCCCAUCGGAGGUUGUACGCAAAGUAGAGGCUUAGUAUCCUGCUUUGCUUUUCAAGCAACAACUCACAACCUAUGUGGAGACAAUAUAUGGUAUCUUGCGGGACAACUUGAAGAAAGAGUUGGCAUCAUUUAUUUCGUUAUGUAUCCAGGCACCAAGGACAUCUAAGGGAGUCUUAAGAUCUGGCCGAUCUUUUAGUAAAGAUUCUCCCAUGGGUCAUUGGCGGAGUAUUAUUGAAUCCCUCAACAGUAUUCUCUCUACUAUGAAAGAGAACUUUGUGCCUCCUGUCCUUGUCCAAAAGAUCUUCUCUCAAACAUUUUCAUAUAUUAAUGUUCAACUCUUCAACAGUCUUCUUCUGCGGUGAUUGUUGCCCAUUCAGCAAUGGAGAAUAUGUGAAGGCUGGUUUAGCAUAAUUGGAGCUAUGGUGUUGCCAAGCAAAGGAGGAGUAUGUUGGGACAUCUUGGGAUGAGCUCAAGCACAUUAGACAGGCAGCUGGAUUCUUGGCAAGUGUUUCUUCGGAAAGUCUAACCAAAUUGCCUUGGGUUUGCAGUAUGCUGGGACAUCUUGGGAUGAGCUCAAGCACAUUAGACAGGCAGUUGGAUUCUUGUGCAGUGUGUUUUGAAACAAUAACAAAAACGACGUUGCUUUAUGGCUUUGAUACAUUUGAGUUGUUUUCUCAGGUUUAUUUUGGAACCUCUACUUGUAAUGCGAAUUACUUUCAUUUAAUUUUUUAUCAUUCGAUUCUUAUUGUCUAGUCUUCUGGAUUUUUUCCUUUAUGAUUUACCAUUAAUACUUAUUUCUUCCUAUGAUGUUCACAUACUUUCCGUUCAACCUAUAAUGCGUAGCUUGCAAGGGAUCUAGUGGCAGGAAGAGGUUCACAUACUUCCUUCCCAGCCUUGGGAUAAAACAAUUGUUUUACUUACAAGUUACAUGUGUGUAUUUGUUUUGAGAUAGUGUUGGAAGCCAAAAUUUGUUCAUUUAAUAUGGCCUUGAUCUUGCAAAUUGGUUGGAAAUUUGGUCAACUCUUCUAAGAAUCUUUACAUUUCAGGCUUUUUUUGAUACUCAACAUAUACUUUUGUAAGUUCUUGAGUUUUCUUUGUGGGUACAGGCGAGAGAGCCUAUAAAUAUGUGCUUUACUGUGGAACCCAUGGCAAACAGAGGCUCACUCUUUUUUAUAUAAUUUGUCAUUCAAUAAAUUUGCUAUCGUUGUUAAAAUAAAAAGAAUAUCUUAUAUUCGUUGAUCCAUUUUUGCAGUGAGCUUAUUUCUGAUUUUUGGAUAUCUGGAACAAUUUGCAAUUCUUGAUGAUAAUGAAUAAGAAUGAUGAUAAUGGCUAGUGUAGCGGGCUAAGAAGUUUCAAUUUUUAGAAUGCGUUGAUAAAAUGGACAAGAACAUGGAGCCAAGAGUUUUAAUUUGGUGAUCUUUGCGGGUUAAGAAGUUUCGAUGUCUAGAAUGACUUGAUAAAAUGGACAAGAAUGAAGAAAGAUUCAAUAUAGAUAAAUCAAAUUUCUUCAUGUUCUGUAUUCUUAUUCUUUUCUGCUUGAUAAUUUGGUAUUUUGGUUGUGGUUGGUUUCAUUCUUGGAGUUUGCUGGUUUUAUUGUAAUGAUUUAAUUAAUAUUAUUAUCGAUUUCAUUCUUAAUAGACUUGUUCUUCCAAUGCCUCUUAUUUUUCAGAUAUAAUUCUUCGUAUACAGAUGGGUGUUUUGCUUUUAAUCUGUUGG
This is an RNA transcript of Trifolium pratense (red clover), 3140 nucleotides long. It is a transcript of the gene named myosin-14-like, with no coding region annotated. NCBI's taxonomy places the organism in Eukaryota, Viridiplantae, Streptophyta, Magnoliopsida, Fabales, Fabaceae. The transcript is spliced from 15 exons. The record is from RefSeq and is a predicted model, not a curated record.